Molecule: long non-coding RNA, 401 nt
Filed under: Triticum aestivum (bread wheat)
Lineage: Eukaryota; Viridiplantae; Streptophyta; Magnoliopsida; Poales; Poaceae
Description: long non-coding RNA (TAES_LNC016505)
Source: RNAcentral
UAGCAGCAGGAAAGAGAAGGGAUUUUUGUUCCAGUAGGAAAGAUAAUCCUCACUCGUCGAUAAAGAGCAAGCUGGAGAUGGAACAUGGGAAUUGGGGGAAAAACAGAUCCAUGUGUUUGGCCAAUGCUAGCUUGGUGUGCGCCUCGUGGUUGAGAGAGAAGGAGGACCUUUGCAGGGUGAUCAAAGGAUGUGCUCGGUCUCUGUUGGUCCAAAUCUCAGGUAAAGCUAACACAUCGUGGUAGUCUUUCUUCAAUUUCGAUUGGUUUACGACAGUACCAUUCAAUCAAAAAAAUGUUUAUGACAUUAAUUCAAAGUAGUGAUGUAAAAUUUAUAUGUUCAGCUCCUUCCUUGGUGCCACGCUUUGGUGGCUUUCGCUGCUCGGCAUCCCCCGUCCUAACUCU